GGGGCUGAUUCUGGAUUCGACGGGAUUUGCGAAACCCAAGGUGCAUGCCGAGGGGCGGUUGGCCUCGUAAAAAGCCGCAAAAAAUAAUCGCAAACGACGAAAACUACGCUUUAGCAGCUUAAUAACCUGCUUAGAGCCCUCUCUCCCUAGCCUCCGCUCUUAGGACGGGGAUCAAGAGAGGUCAAACCCAAAAGAGAUCGCGUGGAAGCCCUGCCUGGGGUUGAAGCGUUAAAACUUAAUCAGGCUAGUUUGUUAGUGGCGUGUCCGUCCGCAGCUGGCAAGCGAAUGUAAAGACUGACUAAGCAUGUAGUACCGAGGAUGUAGGAAUUUCGGACGCGGGUUCAACUCCCGCCAGCUCCACCA
RNAcentral lists this transfer-messenger RNA (363 nucleotides) under Escherichia coli. It matches the Rfam family "transfer-messenger RNA". From Rfam's summary of the family: Bacterial tmRNA, also known as 10Sa RNA or SsrA, is named for its dual tRNA and mRNA-like properties. Its role is to liberate the mRNA from a stalled ribosome. To accomplish this part of the tmRNA is used as a reading frame that ends in a translation stop signal. Lineage: Bacteria; Pseudomonadati; Pseudomonadota; Gammaproteobacteria; Enterobacterales; Enterobacteriaceae. The record is from RNAcentral.